UCUAAUGUGGCAGACUAGUGCGGCGGAUUUAAGCUCCGUAUAUAAAGGUUAAACUUUUUUUAGAA
RNAcentral lists this transfer RNA (65 nucleotides) under Sophrops subrugatus. RNAcentral describes it as "tRNA-Leu". The record is from RNAcentral. Lineage: Eukaryota; Metazoa; Arthropoda; Insecta; Coleoptera; Scarabaeidae.